UACAGAGGGUGCAAGCGUUGUCCGGAAUUAUUGGGCGUAAAGAGCUCGUAGGCGGUCUGUCGCGUCUGCUGUGAAAUCCCGAGGCUCAACCUCGGGCCUGCAGUGGGUACGGGCAGACUAGAGUGCGGUAGGGGAGAUUGGAAUUCCUGGUGUAGCGGUGGAAUGCGCAGAUAUCAGGAGGAACACCGGUGGCGAAGGCGGGUCUCUGGGCCGUAACUGACGCUGAGGAGCGAAAGCGUGGGGAGCGAACAGG
This 253-nucleotide ribosomal RNA is filed under the name uncultured bacterium. RNAcentral describes it as "partial 16S ribosomal RNA". It matches the Rfam family "Bacterial small subunit ribosomal RNA", at positions 524 to 776 of the family's 1533-position model. The record is from RNAcentral.